AGAUUGAACGCUAGCGGGAUGCUUUACACAUGCAAGUCGAACGGCAGCGCGGACUUCGGUCUGGCGGCGAGUGGCGAACGGGCGAGUAAUAUAUCGGAACGUGCCCAGUAGCGGGGGAUAACUACGCGAAAGCGUGGCUAAUACCGCAUACGCCCUACGGGGGGAAAGGGGGGAUUCUUCGGAACCUCUCACUAUUGGAGCGGCCGAUAUCAGAUUAGCUAGUUGGUGAGGUAAAGGCUCACCAAGGCGACGAUCUGUAGCUGGUUUGAGAGGACGACCGAGCCACACGUGGGACUGAGACACGGCCCAGACUCCGUACGGAGGCAGCAGGUGGGGAAUUUGGACAAGUCGGGGGAAACCCUGAUCCAGCCAUCCCGCGUGUGCGAUGAACGGCCUUGGGUUGUAAACGCACCGUUUAGGCGAGGGAAA
RNAcentral lists this ribosomal RNA (429 nucleotides) under uncultured soil bacterium. Its description in RNAcentral is "bacterial SSU rRNA". It matches the Rfam family "Bacterial small subunit ribosomal RNA", at positions 26 to 450 of the family's 1533-position model. The record is from RNAcentral.